UAGAAUAAGGUGGGAAUCCUUAUGGCCGAAUAUCCAAGGUUUCCAGAGUAAAGCUGAUCUGCUCUGGGUAAGUCGGGGCCUAAGGCGAGGACGAGAGUCGUAGCCGAUGGACAACAGGUGGAGAUUCCUGUACUGCGGUUGACAGAACUGUGGGGACACGUAAGGAAAGCGGAAGCCGGGAAUGGAAAGCCCGGUGCAAGCGGGGUACCAGCCACUUUGGCAAAUCCGGGUGGCAAUGGGAAGCCGUGAUGCGGAGCGAAAUAAAGUAGCGAAGUCCGUGAGCCAUGCGUCAAGAAAAGCCGCUAUUGUUUAUACCGUACCCGUACCGUAAACCGACACAGGUGGAUGAGGAGAGAAUCCUAAGGCCGGCGGAAGAAGCAUUGUCAAGGAACUCGGCAAAAUGGCCCCGUAACUUAGGGAUAGGGGGUGCCUGGGAAGCCAGGCCGCAGAGAAUAGGCUCAAGCAACUGUUUAGCAAAAACACAGGUCUAUGCGAAACCGAAAGGUGAGGUAUAUGGGCUGACGCCUGCCCGGUGCUGGAAGGUUAAGAGGAGAGGUUAGCGGUAACGCGAAGCUUUGAAUUUAAGCCCCAGUAAACGGCGGCCGUAACUAUAACGGUCCUAAGGUAGCGAAAUUCCUUGUCGGGUAAGUUCCGACCCGCACGAAAGGCGUAAUGAUUUGAGCGCUGUCUCGACGAUGCAUCCGGUGAAAUUGAAGUACCAGUGAAGAUGCUGGUUACCUGCUCCAGGACGGAAAGACCCCAUGGAGCUUUACUCCAGUCUGGUACUGGGACUCGGUAUUGCAUGUACAGGAUAGGUGGGAGGCUAGGAGAUGGUAACGCCAGUUGCCAUGGAGCCGCUGUUGGGAUACCACCCUUGCAGUAUUGGGUUUCUAACCAGCCGCCGUGACCCGGCGGUGGGACAAUGCCAGACGGGGAGUUUGACUGGGGCGGUCGCCUCCGAAAGGGUAUCGGAGGCGCCCAAAGGUUCCCUCAGAAUGGACGGAAACCAUUCGAAGAGUGCAAAGGCAGAAGGGAGCUUGACUGCGACACCGACGGGUGGAGCAGGUACGAAAGUAGGGCUUAGUGAUCCGGUGGUAUUAAGUGGGAAUGCCAUCGCUCAACGGAUAAAAGCUACCCUGGGAUAACAGGCUUAUCACUCCCAAGAGUUCACAUCGACGGAGUGGUUUGGCACCUCGAUGUCGGCUCAUCGCAUCCUGGGGCUGUAGUAGGUCCCAAGGGUUGGGCUGUUCGCCCAUUAAAGCGGUACGCGAGCUGGGUUCAGAACGUCGUGAGACAGUUCGGUCCCUAUCCGGCGUGGGCGUAGGAUAUCUGAGAGGAGCUGUCCUUAGUACGAGAGGACCGGGAUGGACGGGCCGCUGGUGCAUCGGUUAGACUGCCAAGUCUACGGCCGAGUAGCCAAGCCCGGAAGGGAUAAACGCUGAAGGCAUCUAAGCGUGAAGCCCCCCUUAAGAUGAGAUAUCCCAUUCGAAAGAAGUAAACCCCCUUGAAGACGACGAGGUAGAUAGGGCAGAGGUGGAAGUGCAGCAAUGCAUGGAGCUGACUGUUACUAAUCGGGUGAGGGCUUGACCC
RNAcentral lists this ribosomal RNA (1590 nucleotides) under metagenome. Its description in RNAcentral is "bacterial LSU rRNA". It matches the Rfam family "Bacterial large subunit ribosomal RNA", at positions 1312 to 2925 of the family's 2925-position model. The record is from RNAcentral.